CCCCCUGGACGAAGACUGACGCUCAGGUGCGAAAGCGUGGGGAGCAAACAGGAUUAGAUACCCUGGUAGUCCACGCCGUAAACGAUGUCGACUUGGAGGUUGUGCCCUUGAGGCGUGGCUUCCGGAGCUAACGCGUUAAGUCGACCGCCUGGGGAGUACGGCCGCAAGGUUAAAACUCAAAUGAAUUGACGGGGGCCCGCACAAGCGGUGGAGCAUGUGGUUUAAUUCGAUGCAACGCGAAGAACCUUACCUGGUCUUGACAUCCACAGAACUUUCCAGAGAUGGAUUGGUGCCUUCGGGAACUGUGAGACAGGUGCUGCAUGGCUGUCGUCAGCUCGUGUGUGAAAUGUGGUAUGCCCCCACCGC
Molecule: ribosomal RNA, 366 nt
Filed under: Escherichia coli
Lineage: Bacteria; Pseudomonadati; Pseudomonadota; Gammaproteobacteria; Enterobacterales; Enterobacteriaceae
Description: bacterial SSU rRNA
Rfam family: Bacterial small subunit ribosomal RNA
Source: RNAcentral